Molecule: ribosomal RNA, 497 nt
Filed under: uncultured bacterium
Lineage: Bacteria
Description: partial 16S ribosomal RNA
Rfam family: Bacterial small subunit ribosomal RNA
Source: RNAcentral
GAUGAACGCUGGCGGCGUGCCUAAUACAUGCAAGUCGAGCGAACAGAUAAGGAGCUUGCUCCUUUGACGUUAGCGGCGGACGGGUGAGUAACACGUGGGUAACCUACCUAUAAGACUGGGAUAACUUCGGGAAACCGGAGCUAAUACCGGAUAACAUUUGGAACCGCAUGGUUCUAAAGUGAAAGAUGGUUUUGCUAUCACUUAUAGAUGGACCCGCGCCGGAUUAGCUAGUUGGUAAGGUAACGGCUUACCAAGGCAACGAUACGUAGCCGACCUGAGAGGGUGAUCGGCCACACUGGAACUGAGACACGGUCCAGACUCCUACGGGAGGCAGCAGUAGGGAAUCUUCCGCAAUGGGCGAAAGCCUGACGGAGCAACGCCGCGUGAGUGAUGAAGGGUUUCGGCUCGUAAAACUCUGUUAUUAGGGAAGAACAAACGUGUAAGUAACUGUGCACGUCUUGACGGUACCUAAUCAGAAAGCCACGGCUAACUACGUG